AGGUGGGAGCACGGAUUAGAUACCCUGGUAGUCCACGCCGUAAACGAUGAGUACUAAGUGUCGGGUUAAACCGGUACUGAAGUUAACACAUUAAGUACUCCGCCUGAGUAGUACGUACGCAAGUAUGAAACUUAAAGGAAUUGACGGGACUCCGCACAAGCGGUGGAUCAUGUUGUUUAAUUCGAAGAUACCCGAAAAACCUUACCAGGUCUUGACAUGUUUUUGCAAAAUGAUAGUAAUAUCGUGGAGGUUACCAGAAACACAGGUGGUGCAUGGUUGUCGUCAGCUCGUGUCGUGAGAUGUUAGGUUAAGUCCUAAAACGAGCGAAACCCUUAUCGUUAGUUGCCAGCACGUUAUGGUGGGGACUUUAACGAGACUGCCAAUGAUAAAUUGGAGGAAGGUGAGGAUCACGUCAAAUCAGCAUGCCCCUUAUGACCUGGGCUACAAACGUGAUACAAUGGCUGUUACAAAGGUAACCUUGGAAGAA
This 487-nucleotide ribosomal RNA is filed under the name Phytoplasma sp. Its description in RNAcentral is "bacterial SSU rRNA". It matches the Rfam family "Bacterial small subunit ribosomal RNA", at positions 758 to 1259 of the family's 1533-position model. Lineage: Bacteria; Bacillati; Mycoplasmatota; Mollicutes; Acholeplasmatales; Acholeplasmataceae. The record is from RNAcentral.